CAUUUCUCUAUAUUAAUAGGGAGUACAAUUCUUGUUUUCUUCUUACCGUUUUGAUGUAUUUGAGAUAGGAUUAAGGAGUUGAUUGUGAGAGAAAGGUGAUGAAAAAAGUGUUAGUGCUGUUUUUAUCUUUAGGCCAUUUAAAUUCUCUUCUUUCAUUAAUUUUUGCAGGUUUACUGAGGGAUUGUUAACUCCUUUCAUUUCUAAAUAUGGUUGGUAGAUGCUAUGGUCUGAAUGUUGGUGUCCCCUUAAAAUUUAUAUAUUGGAACCUAAUACUCAAUGUGAUAGUAUUAGGAGGAGGAGCCUUUAGGGGGGUGAUUAAGCCAUGAGGGCUCUGCUCUCAUGAAUGGGAUUAGUGCCCAUAUAAAAUAAGUUGAAGGGAGCUGGCUUGCCCUUUCCACCAUGCGUGAGGACACAGUAAUAAAGCAACAUCUCUGAAGCAGCGAGCAACCCCUCACCAGACACUGAACCUGCUGGCACCUUGAUCUUGGACUUUCCAGCUUCCAGAACUGUGAAAAUAAAUUUCUAUUGUUCGUAAGUUACCCAGUCUAAGCCUAUGCAGGAAGAACAAAGGUUAGAGGAAAAUGAAACACAUUAUUAUUGCUGGGAGCAAACAGAAGACACACUAUGAAGAAGAGAUGGAGUUUGAGCAUCCUGGCAAAUCCAGACUGAAGUUAAAUGACAUCCACCAAACAACUCCAGGCUGUGAAGAAACAGACAGCUCUCCUCCCACUUCUCAUCUUCCUUUUCUAGGCCAUUAAACUGUGCACUGAAAAAGAUGAAGAUACCUCCCCAGGCUUUGGAAUUAUCAAAAUAACUUUGGAAUUCUUGAUAUUGAUUAAUAUCAAUACUAUUCCUAUUCUAUUCAAGUCAACUAAGACAAUGUUUUCAAAUUUUAGAUUAUGAUUCAUUAGUUGAUAACAAAAUCAAUUUAAUUGGCUUUAAAAGAGACAUAAAAUAGAAAAGAAAAUAUAAAAGCAUGCAUCACAUGCAGUAAGGACGAGUCUAUGUAUGUAAACAUUUUGUUUCAAAUAUAUAUGUGUGUUUGUUUAUAAGAUGUACAUAUUGCGAUAGUUUAAUGUUUCUUAUUGUGAGUUAUAGUCAACAAAGUGUUCAAAAAUUAUUUAAUUAAAAUGUAAGCUCCCCAAAGGUAGAGUUUUUGCCUUGUCCACCAUUGUUCAUCCAGCACCUAAAACACAUACAUAAUAAAUAUUAGCUGAAUAAAUAUAUGGCCUGGGGAAAGUCAAUGAAUCUGUUUUCUGAUCUGUAGAAGAAUAAAGUCUACCUUAUAGGUUUGUCAUUGGAACUAAUAAAAAUGAG
Molecule: long non-coding RNA, 1317 nt
Filed under: Homo sapiens (human)
Lineage: Eukaryota; Metazoa; Chordata; Mammalia; Primates; Hominidae
Description: HSALNT0017162
Source: RNAcentral